This 262-nucleotide ribosomal RNA is filed under the name uncultured bacterium. Its description in RNAcentral is "partial 16S ribosomal RNA". It matches the Rfam family "Bacterial small subunit ribosomal RNA", at positions 793 to 1055 of the family's 1533-position model. The record is from RNAcentral.
GUCCUAGCCGUAAACGAUGGACACUAGGUGUCCGUGGUAUCGACCCCACGGGUGCCGCAGCUAACGCAGUAAGUGUCCCGCCUGGGGAGUACGGCCGCAAGGUUAAAACUCAAAGGAAUUGACGGGGCCCGCACAAGCAGCGGAGCGUGUGGUUUAAUUCGACGCAACGCGCAGAACCUUACCGGGGCUUGACAUGGGCCUGUAACGCCGAGAGAUCGGCGCCUCCGCAAGGACAGGUUCACAGGUGCUGCAUGGCUGUCGU